This 34560-nucleotide long non-coding RNA is filed under the name Triticum aestivum (bread wheat). RNAcentral describes it as "long non-coding RNA (TAES_LNC025337)". The record is from RNAcentral. Lineage: Eukaryota; Viridiplantae; Streptophyta; Magnoliopsida; Poales; Poaceae.
UUCCCAGAUCAUUGAGUUGGGUACAUCCGUGCAUGUGGUCGGACGGAUCUGAUCGAACAUGGCAAGAAAGUAUCCCCAAGACGAAUAUACUCCUACUAGCCAGCCUUCGUUACCAAUGGUGCAUGCUGGCAGAUGCUGCGCGGACAACUCGACAGGUUUAUAUUUGAUACAUACACCUUGCAAACAUGCCACAUGCGUGAGACACACCACACAUACACUUUUGGCCGGUGGCCACACUUUGCAACAUCACUGUCACUCACACACUCACACACAGACACAACCUCACCUGCAUGCGGACAACUCUGUACUGCUCUUCCCAGACAACCGUGCAUGAUGCAUGUACCCUGUAACCACCGCAUGCGUCAGUCGUAGGCGGCGCUGAAGAAGGCCUUGGCGGUGCAGGCGGCGAGGAUCUGGAGGACGCCGGCGUUGGAGCGGGCGACGCAGCGCGGCGACUUGAACUGGCUCACGGGGGCGCCCAGGGAGAGGUAGUGGCGGAGCACCCGGUGGAACGUCCCCCGCUGCAGCACCCGCAGCUCCAGCGGGCCGAUGGCGCGGGACCGCCGCGACCCGACGUAGCCGGGGUCCGCGAAGGCGCGGUCCAGCUCGUCGCAGCACCCCUGCAGAGCGUCGGCGCUGGCGUCGGCGGCGGCGGCGUUGAGCUCGACGAAGACCACGUAGUGGCCCGGGUCCGACGACAUGUCCGCGUGGCUGGUGUAGUCCACCACCUCCAGCUUCUCGGCGGCGAGGAACUUGGCGGCGGCGGCGUCCACGGCCAGCUGCAGGUCCUGCUCGCUGUUCUUGUCGAUGUUGAUGGACAGCGCCAGGUUCCGGCGGCACACGAACUUGAGCUUGGGCGUCGCGUUGUGGAACCCGGCCACCCGCACCACGUCGCCCAGCCUGUACCGGUACAGCCCUGCCAAGAUACGCAUUUCGCCUUCAGAAUCACUACAUCUCUAUCACUGACUGUGGAACUUUUCUUGCGAUUUUCUGACAGAGGAAACAAACAUAGUAUCCAUCGAAGCAAGUACGUACUACAAAUUCAUGAUAAAAUGAUGGGCCAGCAUGAGACAAACAAGCAAUGAUGCAAGCAGAAUUCUCCUAUUUGUGACACUGGCCCGGACCCUAUAGUUAGUUGUGGUAACGGAUUGGACAUGUACCGGCAACCUGUGCGUGCGUGCCCACCUGUGCUGUGUGUUGCACCGGUUCUUAUCCAGUUAUCAUCUGGCAGGACACAUCAUUUCCUGUAGGUUGAUGUGGCGCCCAUGCUCGACCUCAUCCGUGGAGCCAUGCAGGUGAGGCGACGCGACGACAAAUCCUACUGUUAACUGACGUAGUACUGAAAACUAAUACAACACUAGGAUAAAUUUUCCGGGGUAGAUCGAUAGGGAGGUUGGGAGUGUACGUGGCUUCAGAUGACGGAAGAGUUUUUGUUGUCUUUGAUCUUAGGUUUUGUUUGACAGUUGCAGGCGUUGCACUCACAUGUGAAUGCGUGUAAUGACCUGCCGCCUGCCGGCCUGGUCAAAGUUAAAUUUUUGUUAACCUGCUCCGGAGAUUAAAUACUACAUGGAUUCCAAGCUACUCCAUGGAUGGAGUAGCUGCUAGCUAUAGGGAUCAAGAAUGUCGCCUCCUCCCUCUCUAGAAGAAGAAAAAAAAAGGUGGCUACGGUUUUCACGUAAGUGCCGCUGGUACCCCUCGCCUUCAGGUGCCUUCCAACACCAGAGAGGUGGGGAAAACCCUGGUUUGAAGUUAGCAGUGUUUGGGCCGUCCUAGCUUGGGCUAGGCUCAGUGGCGGCGCCAGGUUCUAGAGGGUGGGUAUUCAUUUUGAAGAAGGGUAUUCAUUUUGCCUAAAUCAUCACUAUUUUGCAAAAAAAUUCGCUUGUUUUAUAUAAAAUUUCAAUGGUUUGUCAAAAUCUUGGGUAUUCAACCGAAUACCCAAGAAGACCCCUGGCGCCGCCCCUGGCUAGGCUUCAGUUUGGGUGUUUAGGUCAGUGGCGAGCAAUGACAUCAUCGACAGUGUGGAAUACGAUCUAUGUGUCUUGUCGUCGUUCUGGCGAUGCUGAUUGGCAUUGGGAGACGGUGCAUCAAAGCUUGAGUUAGGGCUAGAUCUUGGGUUUCAUUUGGCCUACAUUUCUUCUAGGUGAUCUUGAACGAGUUAUUUGCUGGAGAGGAGAGUUGACGGCUCAUGGUUUCGCCUUUUGCCUUCUUCUCCUUUCGGCGCUGCACGACAAUUUCAACUUCGUCGGAAACCCUAGUGAGAUAAAGCUUGAGUAGACAGAUUUGGGAUGAUCAUCCAACCCCCUUUGCCUUCUUCUCCAGGACGACGAUCUGAUUCUCAGCUUGCUAUCACCGGCUUCUCCUGGCUCGGACCGAUGACUUGCCUCCGCCACAUCAACAACGCUACCCCGGCACUGCGGGCGUUCUAGAGAUGCAAAGGUGUCAUUGAGCUUUGCUCACGGCGUGUUGCCGACGAGUGCAAGAGGAAGGUGGCGUUGAUAUAUCAAAGGACAUAUAUUUCAUCUUAUGCCUUAGUAAGGAUAGUCUUAUAAAGGUUGGGCAAUUUUAACAUAUGACCUUGCCUUCUCGCGGGCAAGAAUGAUGAACAGGAGCAAAGGGACAGACCGCCAUGCCUCGCAUAUAUAUUAUUACCGGUCCACCGGUUCAACACCUAAUCUAUGGAUAUUUUUCACAUAAACUCCAACGUGUUAGAUUUUGACGCAUUUUGAUUCAUUAACCUCCAUCCCAUAAUAUAAUACGUUUUUGCAAGCUAUCCACACGCCACACUUUCUAGGCUUGCUUCUCUUUGUAUGGAACUUGCAUCAAUGAUGGGCGGGCGUAAGAUUUAUAUUGGAACAUCGAGUGCUAAGUCGUGUCUUGGCCAGGGCUACAUGUUUGGUCUUUGGAAAAACAACGAGCACUUGAUGCUUGGUUUUUUGGCUCCAUGUGUUGAACGAUCAUGUUCAUUCCAGACCAUGCUGAAAAGUCCUCGGACUCUCAUCACCUUUUUGUAUUUUCCCGGCGAAAAGGACUUGCAUCAGCCGUGUCGAUUAACGUACUAGUCAACAAAGUUAAUGUAUGCUCGACGGUGUAACUUUCAUACAGAUCACCGAUCACAAGCUACUAUAUACGUGACAGUAACGCCACAACUAAUACCCACCGUAGCCGCCAUUUUCUGCUUCGUGGAGCAUGGUGACAGCGCAGUAGCACUGUGUUCGACUUUGGUUCACAAGGUCAGAGGAGAGAAUCCAUGUCGCUCCAAGAAUGCUCGCCAAUAUACGUCGCAACCAAACGGGGUCUAGUUCAUCGGGCGGCUUAUUUGGUGACCAAAUUGACCCACUAGACUGGCUAGAUAACCGGGCAGAAAAUGUUGGCGUCGUACGUCCACCUCAAAAUCUCUGUGCGUUUCGACGGGAAUCCAUCGACAGGCGACCGUCUUAUCUACCUAAAAGCUAGCCAUUUGGACAGUGGAGGCUCCACUUGGUUAAGUUAAGACCUCAGUGAAGGACUCAUCACCCAGCACAAGCACAAGGGUUUGGAACCGGAGGGCGACAGGCCAAGUCAAUGCCCCCCUUGCCAAGUCAAGUCAGAUGGAAGAACCUUGGCGGGUUCAUGCAUGGACUCACUCCAUGGAGCGUACGUAAAAGAGGCAAGGAGUUAGGGUGGUACAGUGGUGCGUGCGGCGUACCUGCGAACGUGGUCAUGACGACCUCGUAGUGCUCGCCGGCGACGACGUCCGUCAGGCCGACGGGCUCCGACUCGCCGUAGCAGGCGUCGGGGCCGGGGGCGGCCGCGCAGCCGGGCCGGAGGGGGAUGAACUCGAAGUAGCCGAUGUCGGGGAGCACGGUGAAGGUGGCGGACUCGGGCGGCGCCGCGGGCUCCACGUUGGCGCCGAUCCACCCCUCGGACGCGCCGUACUCGGCGGCGACCAGCGGCAGCCCGCCCGCGUAGUGCCGGAGCUUCUUCACGUAGUGCUCCAUGGAGCCCGUCAUGAUGCCGUACACGUACUUUGCGUUGGGCCACAGCGCCGGGAUCACCCCGUACCAGUUGCUCAGGCCGGCGCACCUGCGCGCCACGGCGUCGGCGAGCUCCGGGUUCGGCCCGGCGAGGAGCGCCGACACGGCCUGCCGGACGGCCGGCGAGGUGACGCGGGUCGGCGAGAGGGCGCCGCGGCGGAUGUCGGCGCAGAGCUCCUCCCACACCCGCUCGAAGGUCUGGAAGGCGAGCACGACGCUGUGCGCGAAGGUGGCCGACACCAUCUGCACCUCGCCGGCGGCGAGCAGGCCGCAGAGGAGGUGGCAGUAGAGCGACUGCGCGAAGUCGGCGCCGAAUAUCACCUCGUCGGGGCUGCAGCACUGCGACUGCACCGCGCGCAUCGUCGCCUUGAACUCCUCGCUGCGGUACACGUUGGUGGUCGCCGUCGUCGCCGUCAGCCCGCCCUUGGUCGUGAACUGCCGGCUGCUGUAGAUGAACUGCAGCGCCUUGCCGUCCUCCACGGGGAACUCCCUGCCGUUAAGCAGUCACCAUACAUACCUCAUUAAUGGAGAUCACCAGCCGAAAAACCUUCACUGAAACUAGAACGAAACUGACGAGCCGACGGUACAAGUGAAGGAACAAAAGGAGGUUGCAGUCGUACGUUAGGCUUGUUGCAUCGAUCAUGGAUUUAAUUCUAAUAACAGGUUAUUCUACGAUUGAUUACUCCAUUCCAACUCACAGAUCGAUCGCUACUGUUGGUUCACGUGAUGUACAAAUUGAGAACGGCCGAAUUAUGGCGGAGGACGACUCCCCGGAUCGAGGCCGGGCACCAGAAGCAAGAAAUUUAACUUUAAGCGAACGAAAUCUGGGCUGGAUUUGCUCUCUACCUGUUCCUGAAGGCGUAGGAGGUCCGGUAUAUCUGCAUGGUGGACUUGACGAGCUCCUCGUUGAACAGCAGGUACUUGCGCUUCCCCUGCGUCGUGCCGGAGCUGCACGUCGUACAUCACCAUGAUCAGUCCUUGAGGAGAGCUAAAAGAGGAGCUAUACGCUAGGAUAGGAGCCUUGAUGAUUAGCAAGUGGCCAACCUUAGGGAGAUGGAGGUGACGGGCUUGCCGGUGAGGACGGGCGUGGCGUCGCCGUCGACGAUGCGCUCAAUGUAGGGCUCGAGGUCGGCGUGCGUGGCGAGCGGCACGCAUUGCUUGAAGCUGGCGGCGUCGGUGCGGCCGGCGAGGCCCAGCCCCCGCAGGUACUCGGUGUUGCCGUUCUCGGCGAGGAUCCGCCGCAGCGUCUCCCGCUGCACAAUGGCGGCGUCCCGCGUCAGCCGCUCGAACUCGGCGAUCACCUUCUCGCCGCUGAACUCGCCGGCCUUCUUCUCCAACAUUCUGCCGCUGUCCACUCUCCACACCGGUCGGGCUCCGAACCUGCUGCCACGAGACGCUGCAACAACAGGAAGAAGACCGAAACCAAGUCAGAAACAUGGGGGGUGGGGUUAGUUGGUUCGACUGUUGAAGAAGAGGAGGUGACGUCGGCGAUGAGAUUUUGUGUCCAACAUCGCUCGUGUCCUCUUUUGGAUAAAAAGCUCGAGCAGGACAAAAUUAACAGCACGACUUUUCUUUGCCUCUUCGACCAAACACCAAGGGGGCAAACGAGAGGAGAGGAUCGUGCGAGGAGAGCACCGGGAACAGUGGCCACAGGCCUGUGUGCCCCUCGCUGUCCGUGAGGCAGGCCUCCAGCUCUGCUUGCUAAACUAGUUCGGUCCAGGGACAAAGAUCCAACGAUCAUCUCUAUCCUUCCGUUUCUUUUAUCCCUCUCUCACGCAGAAUGAUGGGGAGUCUACGCCGCGGAGACGAGCUCCCGGGAAGGAGCCAAGGGCAGAGCAGAGCAAAGGGACGACGCAAGAGACAAAGAACAGCUGGGGAACCCGAGAAAGAAAAGAAAAGAGGAGCGCGCGGCCACGAGCCGGAGCCCGCCCACUCACCUCGGGGUGUCCGCCGCGGGGCCGGGAAGACGACGGCGGCCGGGGACGCACGGGCCGCGGCAACGGACGAAGCACGGCGCGGCAGGGAACGAGGCGCCUCUCCGUCCUUCUGCGCCGCCGCUCGAACACCUAGGCGCGAAGACGCACAGGGGGCAGCGCGCGGUGCGGAGUGGAGAGUACGGUGAGGCGAGGAGUGAGGAGACGACGAGCGCGGGCGCAUAUAUACACGCGCGGUUUUAUCUGUGUGCAAAAGGGUACUGGUAGUAAUACGGGAACAGACGAUCUUUUUUGCCAUGGGUUGUUGUUGAUGGGACACGAUGACGGCCUUUUCAUCUUGCUGUGGCACGACACGAUCGGGCUGCAGUAAUACGGCGGAAAGCUUGCUAUCCAGUUUUAUCCAUGGCUGCAAAUGGGUGAGUUGAAGCUAGGAAGGGUUUGAUUUAGCUUUAUUGCCUCGCGGGUAGCGACAGCCAUGCCGAUUUAAUUCCAAUCACAACAUCCUUGAUUGUGUCCCUCAAGUAAUUUUAGGAUAACCCAGAGUGGAUAAUUAUCAUUUCUGUACGGACAGUCUCGUAUACAUGGUAUAUUCACUCCACUUGUAGAAAAACAAAGUUUUACACUAUUUUUUUUGGGAAAACUUACGAUCUAGUAUUCACUAACCGUCAAAAUAGUAAAAGAAAAAUCAAAAAUAAAAAAAGUCGUCUUGGUCAAAGACCACCUAGCGAAGACUACAAGCAUUAGAGCCGGACAAACAUUGUUAUAGCAGACAGUCGGAAACUUGUUGUGCUAAGGUCCCACAUGACCAACACACCAGAACAGCAAUCGCAUGCAACCGGUGAAAAGAAGCGUAGGUCUUAAGAUCCUUUGUUCAAAAGAAAAAUGAAAGAAAAAUAUAGGAUUCAUGUGCUUGACUGAGAUCCCUAAUCAUAUAAUGACAUGUUAAUUAUACAUUUUCAUGUGGUUUGACUUUGAAUUGACUCUGUUUACUAGAAUUCAUGUGUUUUUUCUAUUCCUAUAAAUUGAACACUUGCAAAAUUCCCAUAUGUUUUACACAUGCAUCCCCACCCAAUUCUUGUUUUUUUUCCUUCCCCUGUUUUUAGAAUCACGUUAUCCCAAGGAGCCUUAAAUCAGACUUUGAAAGUUUUGACCAAUGAAAUUAUUGUUUUAGAUAUUUAGACUGAGAACUCGGUAAUCAUACGCACAUUUUUGUUUGGGAAGUACUUUAUGGAUAAUAUUAUAAUUUGGUUGGAUUUUAGGCAUACUCCCUUUGUUCCUAAAAGGAAAAUAUAUUUGUAUUUUUCAUAUUACAUCAUGUAUUAGGAGAUCAAGGCCAAUGCAUGAAGAAGUGUUUAUGAUCAAUACCUCUGUGAGUCAAUGCAUAAAGCCCAAAUAAUCCCUUUUAACUUGUCCUUGAUAUGUAACUUCAAGCUAUAUGUUCCUUUUGGCAUGGAGAAAAUUAAAACAGAAACUAGUAUCUAGUGGCCAAAGUUACAUUGAAAGACUAUACCGAUGUCCCAAAGAUCAAUUGUUUCCCAUGGACCGGAAGCAGUAUAUACAUUUACCACCCUAAAAAUGCAAAGGUGCAUGUAUCAUGAUAAUACUACUUCAAAACUAUAUCUUUCAAAUAGGAGGGCAAACCGAUAUCUGAUAGAUGUCCCUCUUUAUUCUUAACUCCUAAUGUAGCAUCCAUGUUAAAUCACAUCACUCUAAAAAGAACAAUUGUAAUAUUAUACCAAGAAUCAAUCAAAUCCAUUAGAUCUUGAUGGUUGGACCUAAGAAUAGUCAUGUCCUUUUUAUCAAGCCAACGAGGGAGCACAUGAGGUACCGGCAUGGAGCACACCUCUCCAAGACAUGCCCCUCCACGCACAUUUUUUCGUCAACUUUAUGAAACAGCCAAGUCCUCGUCAAGCUAGCGGAAGACGACAGGCUUAGAAUGAACCCAGGCUUGAAGCUACCAAGCUCUUGGGCUUGUUCAUGAAGGAAAUAUGCCCUAGAGGCAAUAAUAAAGUUAUUAUUUAUUUCCUCAUAUCAUGAUAAAUGUUUAUUAUUCAUGCUAGAAUUGUAUUAACCGGAAACUUAGUACAUGUGUGAAUACAUAGACAAACAUAGUGUCACUAGUAUGCCUCUACUUGACUAGCUCAUUAAUCAAAGAUGGUUAUGUUUCCUAACCAUAUAUAUGAGUUGUCAUUUGAUUAAUGGGAUCACAUCAUUAGGAGAAUGAUGUGAUUGACUUGACCCAUUCCGUUAGCUUAACACUUGAUCGUUUAGUUUUCUGCUAUUGCUUUCUUCAUGACUUAUACAUGUUCCUGUGGCUAUGAGAUUAUGCAACUCUUGAUUAUCGGAGGAACACUUUGUGUGCUACCAAACGUCACAACGUAACUGGGUGAUUAUAAAGGUGCUCUACAGGUGUCUCUGAUGGUACUUGUUGAGUUGGCAUAAAUCAAGAUUACGAUUUGUCACUCUGAUUGUCGGAGAGGUAUCUCUGGGCCCUCUCGGUAAUGCAAUCACUUAAGCCUUGCAAGCAUUGCAACUAAUGAGUUAGUUGCGGGAUGAUGUAUUACGGAACGAGUAAAGAGACUUGCUGGUAACAAGAUUGAAUUAGGUAUUGAGAUACCGACGACCGAAUCUCGGGCAAGCAACAUACCAAUGACAAAGGGAACAACGUAUGUUGUUAUGCGGUCUGACCGAUAAAGAUCUUCAUAGAAUAUGUAGGAGCCAAUAUGAGCAUCCAGGUUCUACUAUUGGUUAUUGACCGGAGACGCGUCUCGGUCAUGUCUACAUAGUUCUCGAACCCGUAGGGUCCGCACGCUUAACGUUACGAUGACAGUUAUAUUAUGAGUUUAUAUGUUUUGAUGUACCAAAGGUUGUUCGGAGUCCCGGAUGUGAUCACGGACAUGACGAGGAGUCUCGAAAUGGUCGAGACAUGAAUAUUGAUAUAUUGGAAGCCCAUGUUUGGAUAUCGGAAGUGUUCCUGGUAAAAUCGGGAUUUUACCGGAGUACCGGGAGGUUACCGGAACCCCUGGGAAUCAAAUGGGACUUAGUGGGCCUAGGUGGAAGAGAGGAGAGGAGGCAAGGGCUGGCCGCGCGCCCCUCCCCCCUAGUCCGAAUAGGACAAGGAGAGGGGGGCGGCGCCCCCCCUUCCUUCCUUCUCCUCCACUCCUUCCCCCUCAAGUCGGGAGUAGGACUCCUCCUGGCGCGCCCUCUCCCUUGGCCGGCCACACCCCCUGUGGGAGUCCUGGAUUAGGGGGUCUCCAGACAGCCGGACUAUAUCCUUUGGCCGGACUGUUGGACUAUGAAGAUACAAGAUUGAAGACUUCGUCUCGUGUCCGGAUGGGACUCUACUUGGCGUGGAAGGCAAGCUAGGCAAUACGAAUAUGGAUAUCUCCUCCCUUGUAACCGACCUUGUGUAACCCUAACCCUCUCCGGUGUCUAUAUAAACCGGAGGGUUUUGGUCCGUGGAACAACAUCAACGACAACAUACAAUCAAACCAUAGGCUAGCUUCUAGGGUUUAGCCUCUCUGAUCUCGUGGUAGAUCUACUCUUGUACUACCCAUAUCAUCAAUAUUAAUGAAGCAGGACGUAGGGUUUUACCUCCAUCGAGAGGGCCCGAACCUGGGUAAAACAUUGUGUCCCCUGCCUCCUGUUACCAUCCGGCCUAGACGCACAGUUCGGAACCCCCUACCCGAGAUCCGCCGGUUUUGACACCGACAUUGGUGCUUUCAUUGAGAGUUCCUCUGUGUCGUCACCGUUAGGCUUGAUGGCUCCUACUAUCAUCGAUAGCUAUAUAGUCCAGGGUGAGACUUUCCUCCCCGGACAGACCUUCGGGUUCGGCGGCUUCGCACUACGGGCCAACUCGCUUGGCCAUCUGGAGCAGAUCGAAAGUUACGCCCCUGGCCGUCAGGUCAGGUUUGGAAGCUUAAAUUACACGACCGAUAUCCGCGGAGACUUGAUCUUCGACGGAUUCGAGCCCUUGCCUUGUGCGCCACACGGUCACGGUGAGUACGAUUUAGCUCUACCAUCGGACCAUAUUCAGGUGAUCGCACCGGCAGCCGCUCCGAGCCUCAAUUCGGAGCCAGUUGCGCCGCCCAUGGACGGGCGGAUAGACCCCGUCACGAAGGCCGUAUCCUCAACGGCGAUCGAGCCGAAUAUCGACCUUACCCUUUGCAAGAGCCGUGUUGUUAAACCGCCGAAUACUUCUCCGUCCACGGACUACGAACCGCUUGUGCCCAUUCCUAUCGAAUCCGGUUGGGCGCCGGUCAUGGAGUUUACCUUCGCGGAUAUCUUUCAGCACUCGCCCUUCGGCGACAUACUGAAUUCAUUUAAGUCUCUCUCCUUGUCAGGAGAGUCCUGGCCGAACUAUGUCCGGCAGGACUGGGGUACGGACGACGAAGAAAUUCGUGACCCACCCACCAUCCAUUUAGUAGCCACUGUCGACGACUUAACCGACGUGCUCAACUUCGACUCCGAAGACAUCGACAGUAUGGACGACGAUGCGGGAGACGAAGAGGAACCACUGCCUACAGGGCACUGGACGUCCACCUCAUCACAUGACGUAUACAUGGUGGACACACCAAAGGAAAAUGGCGACGAGGAACGGAAGGACGCAACGAAGGGUUGUCCCCUCGAUAAGCAAUCAAAGUGGCGGCGUAAGCGCCACCCCAAAUCCCGCCUCGACAGAAAUAAAGAUCAUACAGGCCCAGCGUUAGAGCAGGGUGAACCACCGCCGGACCACGGCAACGCGGAGAAUCAAACCGAACAAACCAACUCUGUCAAAGAUAAUAGUCCGGAGGACAUAACACCGGACAAACACCCGGAGCAACAAAAUGCCCAUCAAAUGCUUGUUGCCACCGCGAGGAGUCUAAAAAGGAAGAAGCAAAGGCUCAAGGCUGCGCAAGACACACUCCAAAUCAGAUGGAGUAAAGUACUCAACGUAGCAGCAAAGUAUGGCGACAAUCGCCCCACCAAGAGUUACCCAAAGCGGAAGUUACUACCCGAAUUCGAUGAGGAGGCCUUAGAUCCCCCGCAACCAAAAAUCAAAAUGGCCACCUGGCCGGAUAGACGACCUCAUGGCCAACAUAGAGCGGCAAACAAUGCCACAUAUAAGCCAAUACGCGAUCCACGCGAGGGCUCGCAUCAAAAGGACGGCGCAACCAGAUCCAUCUAUGGACCACGCAAGCGCUCUCCAGCAUACAAUGCAACACAACAAACAUCUGAACAACGCGGCACGCCCAGAUACAGGGGCGCCGCACACCCCUAUGUUUCACCGAUGAGGUGCUGGACCAUAAAUUUCCAGAAGGAUUCAAACCCAUAAACAUAGAGGCAUAUAACGGAACAACAGACCCUGGGGUCUGGAUUGAGGACUAUAUCCUCCAUAUCCAUAUGGCUCGAGGAUAUGAUCUCCACGCCAUUAAAUACUUACCCCUUAAGCUCAAAGGGUCAGCUCGGCACUGGCUUAAAAGCCUCCCCGAAAACUCCAUCGAAAGCUGGGAAGAGCUCGAAGACGCUUUCCGGACAAAUUUUCAAGGGACUUAUGUCCGACCUCCAGACGCGGACGAUUUGAGUCAUAUAACUCAACAGCCCGGAGAGUCAGCCCGAAAGCUCUGGAAUAGGUUUCUUACUAAAAAGAACCAAAUUGUCGACUGUCCGGACGCCGAAGCCUUGGCAGCCUUUAAGCAUAGCAUCCGUGACGAAUGGCUUGCCAGACACCUCGGCCAAGAAAAGCCGAGAACAAUGGCAGCAUUAACAAGCCUCAUGACCCGCUUUUGCGCGGGUGAGGAUAGCUGGCUAGCCAGAUGCAACACCAGCGACCCUAGUACAUCCGAAGCUAGAGAUGGAAACGGGAAAUCACGGCGCAAUAACAAUAACAAACACCGGAAUAAGGAAGACAUCACGAAGAGCACGACAGUAAACGCCGGAUUCAAAAGCUCUCGGCCAAGUCAGCAAAAGCCGCCCUUUAAAGGCGCUAGAGAUGAACUGUCCAGCCUAAACAAAAUUCUGGACCAAGUAUGUCAGAUCCAUAGCACCCCCGGUAAACCCGCCAAUCAUACCCACCGAGAAUGUUGGGUCUUCAAGCAGUCCGGCAAACUCAACGCCGUACACAAGGGGGAGGAUACACCAAGCGAAGACGAGGAUGAGCCUCUCAAGCACGACACUGGGGAACAAAAGAAGUUUCCACCAGAAGUUAAAACAGUAAACAUGUUACACGUGAUCAAGGGGAGCAACAAAGCGGCACUCCCAGAUAAAUAUGCCCAAGGGCCUAUCAUUGGCGAGCCCUGCCACUGGUCGUUUCAACUGAUCACUUUCGACCAUCAUGAGUACUCGGCAAGUAUCCGGCGGGCAGGAUGGGCUGCCCUGGUACUACACCCAAUUAUUGACGGAUACCACUUUACACGAGUCCUGAUGGACGGUGGCAGCAGUUUAAACCUGAUAUAUCAGGAUACAAUCCGCGAAAUGGCGAUAGACCCAACAAAAAUCCGCCAUAGCGACACUACCUUUAAAGGAGUAACGCCAGGCCUAGGGGCUCACUGCACGGGCUCCCUUCUACUAAAGGUUGUAUUCGGCUUCCCCGAUAACUUCUGUAGCGAACAUUUAACCUUCCACAUCGCUCCGUUCCAAAGUGGUUAUCAAGCACUACUUGGACACGAAGCUUUUGCUUGCUUUAAUGCAAUACCGCAUUACGCUUCCCUCACGCUCAAGAUGCCCGGUCCACGUGGCAUCAUUACAGUGAGCGGAAAUAUUGAGUGAUCUUUGUGCGCCGAAGAGAAUGGAACUGCCUUGGCAGCCGCACACUAAAAACGGCCUCACCAACUACAGCAUUUGAUAGGUCGUCAGGACCACGAACACGGUUAGACGAGUCCGGCGCUGCUAUAUGUAAUUUGUACCGGAUUGAGGGCCACACCCCUAUUAUAAAUACAAGGGGCUCAACGCGCGCAGACAAGUGGCAAUUUUUACUCAUUCUUAAUUAUACAUGGUUUCUUUAAAAAACUACCUUUUUGCACGACAACUUUUUCACCCAAGUUCCUCUCUUUUACAGACGAUCAUCGUGCUACACCCAUCCAGGAUACGGCACAACGGAGACACAGGCGCAGACGUGCAGCAGGGACCCGCUCCAAGGAUUCUUUUUAGAUUAAGACCAUGUGUGAACCUUUUUUACUGUCUCUUGUUGAUACACAUCCCUCGAACUCUCAGCGCAAUUGAGAAGGAUGCUGACGUCUUGGCAUGUGGCCACGUCAGAAUAAUGCACGUACCUGGACACAAGGGGCUUCUUACAAAGGGCACUAUUUAGGCUCGGUUUACACCAUAAAGACCGAAUACCUUAGGGAGUGUUCGGCGUCGCGAGUUUGGCCUUAUAUGCAUCAGCUUCAAAUCAUGUCUUUGGUCAAAUGUUGGGUUUGCCCGUCUCCUAUGUUUUGGUACCUUACAUUCUGCUCUAUCGGCUAAGGUAGCACUAGGAGAACUGCUGCGAUUGUGCCCCGGGUCAUCCGGACGAGCACCUCAGUACAGAAAGCCGAAAACUGACUGUCAUGAUAUAGCGUGAGACUGGUCAACCACUCGAUGACCUACCGGAAUGUUAGAAUUCCUCCGCCUUAACGAAGGGACGUUUCCCGGCCAGGCAUGAACGCACCCCGAAUUCGGGAGAGUGCGGAGCCAACAGAGGCUAUAUAGUAGUCCCACCGUCAAACUCCUAGGGCUAAGUGAAAGUGUUAAAGCAUUAUAGUUCGGUUGCCUCGUUCGCUAUGAUAUCACCUCCUUAAUAGGACCAAGACGUUGGGUUAAGAGUGAACACGCAUCUUCUGCGAACACCCCCGCAUUAUAUGCGUGGGGGCUGAAGCCGACGACUGCAACCUUUCAGGUUAUAUGCAUGUAUACAUAAACGGACGCAUAGGAGGCAUCAUAUUACUUUCAGGCAAAAGUAUAAACAUAGCCUUAAUAAAUUUCAUAAAAAACAUUGUGUUUACAAUGGGAAUACAUGUCACUCAAACAUAAUAUUCUUCGAGCACUGGGACUCUAUCAAAUGAGCACCCUCAAGAACCUCUUCGAAAUAUUGCUCGGCAGCCACUCGGCCUAUGGCCGAACCCUGCGCCGCAAAGCGGUAGCAUCCAUCUCUGCCUAGUAUGCUUUAACACGGGCAAGGGCCAUCCGCGAGCCAUCUAUGCACGCCGACCUCUUGAAAGCAUUGAUGCGCGGCACCACACCAAGGAACUACUGCACUAGGCUAAAAUAGUUGUUCGGCUUCGGCUUUUCCGGCCACAGCUGAUCCACAACGGACCUCAUGGUGAGUCCGAACAACCUAUUAAGUUCGGCCCAUUCGGCUAGCUGAUCUGUCAGGGGAAGCGAACGCUCUAGAACAUUAAAUUGCGACCAGAAUAACUUGUCCACUUCACGAUCUGACUGAUCUCGGAAGUACUCGACCGCGUCGGCAGCGCUUGCCGCCAAGUCCAUAUACGCGUCUUCCGAACUCCACAACCGAUCCAGAGGGGCAUAACGCGGAUCUUCGAACUUCGUCUGCAGCAGAAAGGGCUUCCCAACCACAAUAUCCCCGGCUUCGCGCAGCUCCUCCUUCUUCGCCCUCAUAGCGGAGCGAGUGUCUUUGGUCGCCAUCGUGGCCUUCUCAAGGUCCGCUGCCUUCACUCGAUUCUCUUCUUCAAGGAACUGGCAAUGGUCGGUAGUGCCUUUUAAUUCCACAGCCAUCUUGGCCAUUUUUUCUUUACUUUCGCAAUGGGCGGCCUUCUCAGCUCUUAACUCUUCGGCUGCCUUCAAAGCAGCCGCAUUACUAACCCUCGCUUGUUCCUUGGCUCGGGCAAGUUCAGCCCGAAGGGUCUCCAUGGUGGCAGCUCCGUCUGCAGUCACAAAAUAUUAAAGAUACUGGCAUUAUGCUGCUCUUAUUAUGUGACAUUCACCAGGAAAACAUCACUUACCCUGUGACUCGUCAAGCCGCCUGUUAACAAGCUCGAUGUCGGCGUCCGCCGCAUCUAGUUGCCGCUUUAGCUCGACAAACUCAUGAGUCCGUCUAGCCACCGGAGCUCCCAUUACCUGCACAUUAAAGCGGUAUAGUUAUUGCCUGGGACUACGAUCCUCUAUUCGCCGCCGUUUUCAACGACAACCAGAGUCUCAAGGGCUACUAUCUACACAGGGCACACUUCACAUGUGCGAUACUAUCAAAAAGUAUAUCAUUUCACGUACCUCCCGUCAGUAGACUCAUAAAAGCUUCAUGCAAUCCGCUUUCGGCGGACGAAACUCUUCCCAUCACCGUACCCAUUAACAUAUGGUGUUCCUCUGAGAUGGUUGCUCGCCCCAACAGCUCCCUCAGUAUGUCCGACCGCAUACCAGACGGUGUCAGACUCUUCUGUUCACUCUCUUCAUGAGCCGGACGCUGAGGACUUCGAGUGGCUGUAGGAUUAUCUUCUGGCCUCACCAAAUCCGGAGAGGCCCUCCGUGACGACACUUCAAGGUCGCCCUCUUCUUGAGCAGGGGAGUCCGGAGGAGGCGUUUCGCUCUCCAUCAUCUUCGGAAGAAGAUCCCCCGAAGAUGGGCUCUGCUGAGAAGGGCUAAGAUCCGAACUGCAAGAUAAACGCUUCGGUUAUUUUCCUCAGAGGAAAGGUAACAUACCUUCACUAUUGAAGUGCUUUCUAACUACUUACAGCUCGUUGGAGGGCUGACCCUCGCGCGGACUUUGUGCGGUAAAAGCACCCUCCAAGGCAGGACCCUCUAGUGGGGUUUCUGUUGGAAAUAUGCCCUAGAGGCAAUAAUAAAAGUAUUAUUAUAUUUCAUUGUUCAUGAUAAUUGUCUUUUAUUCAUGCUAUAACUGUAUUAUCCGGAAAUCGUAAUACACGUGUGAAUACAUAGACCUCAAUAUGUCCCUAGUGAGCCUCUAGUUGACUAGCUCGUUGUGAUCAACAGAUAGUCAUGAUUUCCUGGCUAUGGACAUUGGAUGUCGUUGAUAACGGGAUCACAUCAUUAGGAGAAUGAUGUGAUGGACAAGACCCAAUCCUAAGCAUAGCACAAAGGUCGUUUAGUUCGUUUGCUAGAGCUUUGCCAAUGUCAAGUAUCUCUUCCUUAGACCAUGAGAUCGUGUAACUCCCGGAUACCGUAGGAGUGCCUUGGGUGUAUCAAACGUCACAACGUAACUGGGUGACUAUAAAGGUGCAUUACAGGUAUCUCCGAAAGUAGCUGUUGGGUUGACACGGAUCGAGACUGGGAUUUGUCACUCCGUAUGACGGAGAGGUAUCUCUGGGCCCACUCGGUAAUGCAUCAUCAUAAUGAGCUCAAGGUGACCAAAGUUUUGGCCACGAGAUCAUGCAUUACGGUACGAGUAAAGUGACUUGCCGGUAACGAGACUGAACAUGGUAUUGGGAUACCGACGAUCGAGUCUCGGGCAAGUAACGUACCGAUUGACGAAGGGAAUUGUAUACAGGGUUUGAUCGAAUCCUCGACAUCGUGGUUCAUCCGAUGACAACAUCGAGAAGCAUGUGGGAGCCAACAUGGGUAUCCAGAUCCCGCUGUUGGUUAUUGACCGGAGAACGUCUCGGUCAUGUCUACAUGUCUCCCGAACCCGUAGGGUCUACACACUUAAGGUUCGAUGACGCUAGGGUUAUAAAGGAAGUUUGUAUGUGGUUACCAAAUGUUGUUCGGAGUCCCGGAUGAGAUCCCGGACGUCACGAGGAGUUCCGGAAUGGUCUGGAGGUAAAGAUUUAUAUAUGGGAAGUCCUAUUUUGGCCACCGGAAAAUGUUCGGGAUUUUUCGGUAUUGUACCGGGAAGGUUCUAGAAGGUUCCGGAGUGGGGCCCACCUGCAUGGGGGGACCCACAUGAACGUGAGUAGUGGGGGAAAGGCCCCACACCCCUGGUCAAGGCGCACCAAGAUCCCCCCUUAGAAGGAAUAAGAUCAUAUCCCGAAGGGAUAAGAUCAAGAUCCCUAAAAAGAGGGGAUAACAAUCGGUGGGGAAGGAAAUGAUGGGAUUUCUUUCCUCCCACCUUGGCCAACGCCCCAAUGGACUUGGAGGGCAAGAAACCAGCCCCUCCACCCCUAUAUAUAGUGGGGAGGCGCAUGGGAGCUUAACACAAGCCAAGGCGCAGCCCCUCCCCUCCCCAACACCUCUCCUCCUCCGUAUAUGCUUGGCGAAGCCCUGUCGGAGUACUGCUGCACCAACUACACCACGCCGUCGUGCUGCCGUUGGAGAAAUCUUCCUCAACCUCUCCUUCCCCCUUGCUGGAUCAAGAAUGAGGAGACGUCUCCCGUCCCGUACGUGUGUUGAACGCGGAGGUGCUGUCCGUUCAGCACUUGGACAUCGGUGAUCCGAAUCACGUUCGAGUACGACUCCAUCAUCACCAUCCCCUUGGCUAGCUUCCGCUCGUGAUCUACAAGUGGUAUGUAGAUGCAAACUCUCUCCCUUGACUCGUUGCUUAGAUGAACUCAUAGAUGGAUCUUGGUGAAACCGUAGGAAAAAUUUUAAUUUUCUGCAACGUUCCCCAACAGUGGCAUCAUGACCUAGGUCUAUGCGUAGUUCUCUUUGCACGAGUAGAACACAAUUUUGUUGUGGGCGUGGAUUUUGUCAUCUUACUUGCCUCUACUAGUCUUUUCUUGCUUCGGCGGUAUUGUGGGAUGAAGCGGCCCGGACCAACCUUACACGUACGCUUACGUGGGACCGGUUCCACCGACUGACAUGCACUAGUUGCAUAAGGUGGCUGGCGGGUGUCUGUCUCUCCCACUUUAGUUGGAGCGGAUUCGAUGAAAAGGGCCCUUAUGAAGGGUAAAUAGAAGUUGACAAAAUCACGUUGUGGUUAUUCGUAGGUAAGAAAACGUUCUUGCUAGAACCCAAUUGCAGCCACGUAAAAGAUGCAACAACAAUUAGAGGACGUCUAACUUGUUUUUGCAGCGAUUGAUCAUGUGAUGUGAUAUGGCCAGAAGUUGUGAUGAAUGAUGAAUUGUGAUGUAUGAGAUCAUGUUCUUUGUAAUAGGAUUCACGACUUGCAUGUCGAUGAGUAUGACAACCGGCAGGAGCCAUAGGAGUUGUCUUUAUUUUUUGUAUGACCUGCGUGUCAUUGAAGAACGCCAUGUAACUCACUUUACUUUAUUGCUAAACGCGUUAGCCAUAGAAGUAGAAGUAGUCAUUGGCGUGACAACUUCAUGAAGACACGAUGAUGGAGAUCAUGAUGAUGGAGAUCAUGGUGUCAAGCCGGUGACAAGAUGAUCAUGGAGCCCCGAAGAUGAAGAUCAAUGGAGCUAUAUGAUAUUGGCCAUAUCAUGUCACAACUAUAUAACUGCAUGUGAUGUUUAUUAUGUUUAUGCAUCUUGUUUACUUAGGACGACGGUAGUAAAUAAGAUGAUCCCUUACAAAAAUUUCAAGAAGUGUUCUCCCCUAACUGUGCACCGUUGCUACAGUUUGUCGCUUCUAAGCACCACGUGAUGAUCGGGUGUGAUGGAUUCUUACGUUCACAUACAACGGGUGUAAGACAAUUUUACACAGCGAAAACACUUAGGGUUAACUUGACGAGCCUAGCAUGUGCAGACAUGGCCUCGGAACACGGAGACCGAAAGGUCGAACACGAGUCGUAUGGAAGAUACGAUCAACAUGAGAAUGUUCACCGACGAUGACUAGUCCGUCUCACGUGAUGAUCGGACACGGCCUAGUCGACUCGGAUCGUAUAACACUUAGAUGACUAAAGGGAUGUCUAAUCUGAGUGGGAGUUCAUAAUUUGAUUAGAACUUAAUUAUCAUGAACUUAGUCUAAAACCUUUGCAAAUAUGUCUUGUAGAUCAAAUGGCCAACGCUCAUGUCAACAUGAACUUCAACGCGUUCCUAGAGAAAACCAAGCUGAAAGAUGAUGGCAGCAACUAUACAGACUGGGUCCGGAACCUGAGGAUCAUCCUCAUAGCUGCCAGGAAACAAUAUGUCCUAGAAGGACCGCUAGGUGACGCUCCCGUCCCAGAGAACCAAGACAUUAUGAAUGCUUGGCAAACUUGCGCUGAUGAUUACUCCCUCGUUCAGUGCGGCAUGCUUUACAGCUUAGAACUGGGGCUCCAAAAGCGUUUUGAGCAUCACGGAGCAUAUGAGAUGUUCGAAGAGCUGAAACUAGUUUUCCAAGCUCAUGCCCGGGUCGAGAGAUAUGAUGUCUCCGACAAGUUCUACAGUUGUAAGAUGGAGGAAAACAGUUCUGUCAGUGAGCACAUCCUGAAGAUGUCUGGGUUACACAACCGUAUGACCCAGCUGAACAUUAACCUCCCAGAUGAGGCGGUCAUUGACAGAAUCCUCCAGUCGCUCCCACCAAGCUACAAGAGCUUUGUGAUGAACUACAACAUGCAGGGGAUGGAAAAGACCAUUCCUGAAGUGUUCUCGAUGCUGAAGUCAGCAGAGGCUGAAAUCAAGAAAGAACAUCAAGUGUUGAUGGUCAAUAAGACCACUAAGUUCAAGAAGGGCAAGGGUAAGAAGAACUUCAAGAAGGACGGCAAGGAGGUUGCCGCGCCUGGUAAGCCAGUUACCGGGAAGAAGUCAAAGAAUGGACCUAAGCCUGAGACUGAGUGCUUUUAUUGCAAGGGGAAGGGUCACUGGAAGCGGAACUGCCCCAAAUACUUAGCAGAUAAGAAGGCCGGCAAAACCAAAGGUAUAUUUGAUAUACAUGUAAUUGAUGUGUACCUUACCAGUACUCGUAGUAACUCCUGGGUAUUUGAUACAGGUGCCGUUGCUCAUAUUUGUAACUCACAGCAGGAGCUGCGGAAUAAACGGAGACUGGCGAAGGACGAGGUGACGAUGCGCGUCGGGAAUGGUUCCAGAGUCGAUGUGAUCGCCGUCGGCACGCUUCCUCUACAUUUACCUACGGGAUUAGUUUUGAACCUUAAUAAUUGUUAUUUAGUGCCAAGUUUGAGCAUGAACAUUGUAUCUGGAUCUCGUUUAAUACGAGAUGGCUACUCAUUUAAGUCUGAGAAUAAUGGUUGUUCGAUUUAUAUGAGAGAUAUGUUUUAUGGUCAUGCUCCGAUGGUCAAUGGUUUAUUCUUAAUGAAUCUCGAGCGUAAUAUUACACAUGUUCAUAGUGUAGAUGCCAAAAGAUGUAAAGUUGAUAACGAUAGUCCCACAUACUUGUGGCACUGCCGCCUUGGUCACAUUGGUGUCAAGCGCAUGAAGAAGCUCCAUGCCGAUGGACUUUUAGAGUCUCUUGAUUAUGAAUCGUUUGACACGUGCGAACCAUGCCUCAUGGGCAAGAUGACCAAGACUCCGUUCUCCGGAACAAUGGAGCGAGCAACCAACUUAUUGGAAAUCAUACAUACCGAUGUGUGCGGUCCAAUGAGCGUUGAGGCUCGCGGAGGAUAUCGUUAUGUUCUCACUCUCACUGAUGACUUAAGUAGAUAUGGGUAUGUCUACUUAAUGAAACACAAGUCUGAGACCUUUGAAAAGUUCGAGGAAUUUCAGAAUGAGGUGGAGAAUCAACGUGACCGAAAGAUAAAGUGCCUACGAUCAGAUCGUGGAGGAGAAUAUUUAAGUCACGAAUUUGGCACACACUUAAGGAAAUGUGGAAUCGUUUCACAACUCACGCCGCCUGGAACACCUCAGCGAAACGGUGUGUCCGAACGUCGUAAUCGCACUCUAUUGGAUAUGGUGCGGUCUAUGAUGUCUCUUACUGAUUUACCGCUAUCAUUUUGGGGAUACGCUCUAGAGACAGCUACAUUCACUUUAAAUAGGGCACCGUCUAAAUCCGUUGAGACGACACCGUAUGAAUUAUGGUUUGGGAAGAAACCUAAGCUGUCGUUUCUAAAAGUUUGGGGAUGCGAUGCUUAUGUCAAGAAACUUCAACCUGAAAAGCUCGAACCCAAGUCGAAAAAAUGCGUCUUCAUAGGAUACCCUAAGGAAACUGUCGGGUAUACCUUCUACUUAAGAUCCGAGGGCAAAAUCUUUGUUGCCAAGAACGGAUGCUUUCUGGAAAAAGAGUUUCUCUCGAAAGAAGUAAGUGGGAGGAAAGUAGAACUCGAUGAAGUACUACCUCUCGAACGGGAAAGUGGUGCAGCUCAGGAAAAUGUUCCUGUGAUGCCCACACCAACUAAAGAGGAAACCAAUGAUGAUGAUCAAGGUACUUCGGAUCAAGUUGCUACUGAACUUCGUAGGUCCACAAGGACACGUUCCGCACCAGAGUGGUACGGCAACCCCGUCCUGGAAAUCAUGUUGUUAGACAACGGUGAACCUUCGAACUAUGAAGAAGCGAUGGCGGGCCCAGAUUCCAACAAAUGGCUUGAAGCCAUGAAAUCCGAGAUAGAAUCCAUGUAUGAAAACAAAGUAUGGACUUUGACAGACUUGCCCGAUGAUCAGCGAGCGAUAGAAAACAAAUGGAUCUUUAAGAAGAAGACAGACGCGGAUGGUAAUGUCACCAUCUAUAAAGCUCGACUUGUCGCUAAGGGUUAUCGACAGGUUCAAGGGAUUGACUACGACGAGACAUUCUCUCCCGUAGCGAAGCUAAAGUCCGUCCGAAUCAUGUUAGCAAUUGCCGCAUACUAUGAUUAUGAGAUAUGGCAGAUGGACGUCAAAACAGCAUUCCUUAACGGGCAUCUUAAGGAAGAACUGUAUAUGAUGCAGCCGGAAGGUUUUGUCAAUCCUAAGAACGCUAACAAAGUAUGCAAGCUCCAGCGAUCCAUUUAUGGGCUGGUGCAAGCAUCUCGGAGUUGGAAUAUUCGCUUUGAUGAGAUGAUCAAAGCGUUUGGGUUUAUGCAGACUUAUGGAGAAGCCUGCGUUUACAAGAAAGUGAGUGGGAGCUCUGUAGCAUUUCUCAUAUUAUAUGUAGAUGACAUACUCUUGAUGGGAAAUAAUAUAGAAUUUCUGGAAAGCAUUAAGGCGUACUUGAAUAAGUGUUUUUCAAUGAAGGACCUUGGAGAAGCUGCUUACAUAUUAGGCAUCAAGAUCUAUAGAGAUAGAUCGAGACGCCUCAUAGGUCUUUCACAAAGCACAUACCUUGAUAAGAUUUUGAAGAGGUUCAAAAUGGAUCAGUCCAAAAAGGGGUUCUUGCCUAUGUUACAAGGUGUGAGAUUGAGCUCGGCUCAGUCACCGACCACGGCAAAAGAUAAAGAAGAGAUGAGUGUCAUCCCCUAUGCUUCAGCCAUAGGAUCUAUUAUGUAUGCCAUGCUGUGUACCAGACCUGAUGUAAACCUUGUCGUGAGUUUGGUAGCUAGAUACCAAAGUAAUCCCGGCAAGGAACACUGGACAGCAGUCAAGAAUAUCCUGAAGUACCUGAAAAGGACAAAGGACAUGUUUCUCGUUUAUGGAGGAGACGAAGAGCUUGUCGUAAAGGGUUACGUCGACGCUAGCUUCGACUCAGAUCCGGAUGACUCUAAGUCACAAACCGGAUACGUGUAUAUGUUGAAUGGUGGAGCAGUAAGCUGGUGCAGCUGCAAGCAGAGCGUCGUGGCGGGAUCUACGUGUGAAGCGGAGUACAUGGCAGCCUCGGAGGCAGCGCAUGAAGCGAUUUGGGUGAAGGAGUUCAUCACCGACCUAGGAGUCAUACCCAAUGCGUCGGGGCCAAUCAAACUCUUCUGUGACAACACUGGAGCUAUUGCCCUUGCCAAGGAGCCCAGGUUUCACAAGAAGACCAGGCACAUCAAGCGUUGUUUCAACUCCAUCCGUGAAAAUGUUCAAGAUGGAGACAUAGAAAUUUGCAAAGUACAUACGGAUCUGAAUGUCGCAGAUCUGUUGACUAAACCUCUCUCGCGAGCUAAACAUGAUCAACACCAGAACUCUAUGGGUGUUCGAUUCAUCACAAUGUAACUAGAUUGGUGACUCUAGUGCAAGUGGGAGACUGUUGGAAAUAUGCCCUAGAGGCAAUAAUAAAAGUAUUAUUAUAUUUCAUUGUUCAUGAUAAUUGUCUUUUAUUCAUGCUAUAACUGUAUUAUCCGGAAAUCGUAAUACACGUGUGAAUACAUAGACCUCAAUAUGUCCCUAGUGAGCCUCUAGUUGACUAGCUCGUUGUGAUCAACAGAUAGUCAUGAUUUCCUGGCUAUGGACAUUGGAUGUCGUUGAUAACGGGAUCACAUCAUUAGGAGAAUGAUGUGAUGGACAAGACCCAAUCCUAAGCAUAGCACAAAGGUCGUUUAGUUUGUUUGCUAGAGCUUUGCCAAUGUCAAGUAUCUCUUCCUUAGACCAUGAGAUCGUGUAACUCCCGGAUACCGUAGGAGUGCCUUGGGUGUAUCAAACGUCACAACGUAACUGGGUGACUAUAAAGGUGCAUUACAGGUAUCUCCGAAAGUAGCUGUUGGGUUGACACGGAUCGAGACUGGGAUUUGUCACUCCGUAUGACGGAGAGGUAUCUCUGGGCCCACUCGGUAAUGCAUCAUCAUAAUGAGCUCAAGGUGACCAAAGUGUUGGCCACGAGAUCAUGCAUUACGGUACGAGUAAAGUGACUUGCCGGUAACGAGACUGAACAAGGUAUUGGGAUACCGACGAUCGAGUCUCGGGCAAGUAACGUACCGAUUGACAAAGGGAAUUGUAUACAGGGUUUGAUCGAAUCCUCGACAUCGUGGUUUCUUUCCUCCCACCUUGGCCAACGCCCCAAUGGACUUGGAGGGAAAGAAACCAGCCCCUCCACCCCUAUAUAUAGUGGGGAGGCACAUGGGAGCUUAACACAAGCCAAGGCGCAGCCCCUCCCCUCCCCAACACCUCUCCUCCUCCGUAUAUGCUUGGCGAAGCCCUGUCGGAGUACUGCUGCACCAACUACAUCACGCCGUCGUGCUGCCGUUGGAGAAAUCUUCCUCAACCUCUCCUUCCCCCUUGCUGGAUCAAGAAGGAGGAGAUGUCUCCCGUCCCGUACGUGUGUUGAACGCGGAGGUGCUGUCCGUUCAGCACUUGGACAUCGGUGAUCCGGAUCACGUUCGAGUACGACUCCAUCAUCACCAUCCCCUUGGCUAGCUUCCGCUCGUGAUCUACAAGUGGUAUGUAGAUGCAAACUCUCUCCCUUGACUCGUUGCUUAGAUGAACUCAUAGAUGGAUCUUGGUGAGACCGUAGGAAAAUUUUUAAUUUUCUGCAACGUUCCCCAACAGUUUCUUCUCCCGUUUGGAAGCCUCGGUUUCCGGAUCGUCAGAGGCAGUCCUCUUCCUUCCCCGAAGCGAGAGAAGGUCGGAUUCUUCUCCUUGGUUGUCCUCCUUCACAGAGGCGCUCGUUCCCUCGGUUGGAACUAGCAGCGACGGGGCCCGCUUCCGCCCAUAUUAUCCCCCCCCCGUAUCUUCCCUCGAGGGCUCCGGGCAAGGUGUGAGCUUGAGCAUCUUUUACAGCACCAGAUUUUCCAAGCCCUCAAGGAGGGGGGGCCGAAUACCGGAUUAUCUUCGCCUUUGUUAGCCAGUCCUGGUCAAAGAGCAAUAUCUCAAAAAUGACGUCAUAAAUAAAAGACGAUGUGUUCGGCUAGAGGAUUACUUACUUGUUCGGUUGUGUAGUUGCUGCUCAGGCCCACGUCCUCGGUGGUAUCCGGACACUCUAUUUGAGGUCCACAGAAUGACUGGUACAUUUCCUCGUGCAUCAGGCCGAGGAAAUUCUGAAUGGCCCGUGGUCCUUCUGGGUUGAACUCCCACAAGCGAAGGGGCCGGUGUUUGCAAGGCUGGACUCGACGAACUAGCAUAACUUGUAUUACCACAAUCAAAUUAAAAUCUCCCUCGAAGAGAUCUUGAAUAUGGCUUUGCAGUAUAGGCACGUCCUUGGCUGGACCCCAGCUCAGACCUCUACUGAUCCAUGACAUUAGUUGUGGUGGGGGGCCCGAGCGGAAAGCGGGGGCGGCCGUCCACUUGGCACUUCUGGGAGCCGUGAUGUAAAACCACUCUUGUUGCCAUAAUCCGGACACCUCUGGAAAGAAACCCUUCGGCCAUGGAGCUCCGGCCAUCUUGCUUAUUGACGCGCCUCCGCACGCCGCAUGUUGCCCCUCGAUCAUCUUCGGCUUCACUUCGAAGGUCUUGAGCCACAGGCUGAAGUGAGGGGUAAUGCGGAGGAAGGCCUCACACAAGACAAUAAAUGUCGAGAUGUGGAGAAAGGAGUCCGGGGCUAGAUCAUGGAAAUCUAGCCCAUAAUAGAACAUCAAGCCUCUGACAAAGGGAUCCAUAGUAAGGCCUAGGCCUCGGAGGAAGUGGGAGAUGAACACAACGUCUUCGUUGGGUUCAGGAGUAGGGACGACCUGCCCUCGGGCAGGCAGCCGAUGCGAAACCUCGGCGGUCAGGUAUCUGGCCUCCCUCAACUUCUUGAUGUCUUCUUCCGUGACGGAGGAAGGCAUCCAUCGGCCUUAAAGGCUAGAUCCGGACAUGAUUGAAAGUUCGGAGCACCUGACCUGGGCUUUGGGUGUUAUAACUCGAGGCGGGGGAAGGAUUCGAUUGAGCACAGGAGGGAAAAAGUAAAAGCCUUGUCCCUUUAUAAACAGGGUGAAUAUCAAGCGUCCUCUCCGAAACCGUUUGGACUUGCCUAUAAUCUAGGAGUCCUAGACACGCUUGGGUUACCCACACCCGUAUUGAUGAGGAUCCCGUAAUCAGGGGACACGAUCUCUGCCUUGACAAGACGUGUCAAAAAACUGCCUCGCGUUAUGUGCGGGGCUAGUUAAAAGAAACGGUUCGAAUAAGCAUCGGGCCAUGACAUGAUGUCAUGUUGCCAAAACGUGUCAGCAGAUUAAAGAUUUGUGGAAAUAUUAUUCUCUCUACGUUGGUAUGUGGAAUUUGUUUUUGCAGGGUCGGACACUGUCCUUAUAUUCAAAAUUCUUCCGUGGUGUAUUCGGAGGAGGAACCCGCCUUGCAAUGCCGAAGACAAUGCUGCACGUCAGACUCAUCGUCAUUGAAAGCUUGGUUCAUGGGCUACUGUGGGAGUCCUGGAUUAGGGUUUAGCCUCUCUGAUCUCGUGGUAGAUCUACUCUUGUACUACCCAUAUCAUCAAUAUUAAUCAAGCAGGACGUAGGGUUUUACCUCCAUCGAGAGGGCCCGAACCUGGGUAAAAAUUGUGUCCCCUGCCUCCUGUUACCAUCCGGCCUAGACGCGCAGUUCGGGACCCCCUACCCGAGAUCCGCCGGUUUUGACACCGACACCCCCCUUGCUCCUUUAUAUACGGGGGCAGGGGGCACCCUAGAGACACAACAAUUGAUCAUUAAUCUCUUAGCCGUGUACGGUGCCCCCCUCCACCAUAGUCCACCUCGAUAAUACUGUAGCGGUGCUUAGGCCAAGCCCUGCAUCAGUAGAACAUCAACAUCGUCACCACGUCAUCGUGCUGACGAAACUCUCCCUCAACACUCGGAUGGAUCGGAGUUCAAGGGACGUCAUCGGGAUGAACGUGUGCUGAACUCGGAGGUGCCAUACAUUCGGUACUUGAUCGGUCGGAUCGUGAAGACGUACGACUACAUCAACCGCGUUGUGCUAACGCUUCCGCUUUCGGUCUACGAGGGUACGUGGACAACACACUCCCCUCUCGUUGCUAUGCAUCACCAUGAUCUUGUGUGUGCGUAGGAUUUUUUUUUGAAAUUACUACGUUCCCCAACAGUGGCAUCCGAGCCAGGUUUUAUGCGUAGAUGUCAUAUGCACGAGUAGAACACAAGUGAGUUGUGGGCGAUAUAAGUCAUACUGCUUACCAGCAUGUCAUACUUUGGUUCGUCGGUAUUGUUGGAUGAAGCGGCCGGGGCCGACAUUACGCGUACGCUUACGCGAGACUGGUUCUACCGACGUGCUUUGCACACAGGUGGCUGGCGGGUGUCAGUUUCUCCAACUUUAGUUGAACUGAGUGUGUCUACGCCCGGUCCUUGCGAAGGUUAAAAUAGCACCAACUUGACAACCUAUCAUUGUGGUUUUGAUGCGUAGGUAAGAAUGGUUCUUGCUAAGCCCGUAGCAGCCACGUAAAACUUGCAACAACAAAGUAGAGGACGUCUAACUUGUUUUUGCCGGGCAUGUUAUGAUGUGAUAUGGUCAAGACGUGAUGAGAUAUAAGUUGUUGUAUAAGAUGAUCGUGUUUUGUUGAAGUUAUCGGCAACUGGCAGAAGCUUUAUGGUUGUCUCUUUAUUGCAUAAGAUGCAAGCGCCAAAUAAUUGCUUUACUUUAUCGCUAUGCGAUAGCAAUAGUUGCAAGAGCAAUAGUUGGCGAGACGACCAUGUGACGACACGUUGAUAUAGAUCAAGAUGAUGGAGAUCAUGGUGUCAUGCCAGUGACGAUGGAAAUCAUGACGAUGCUUUGGAGAUGGAGAUCAAAGGCACAAGAUGAUGAUGGCCAUAUCAUGUCACAUAUUUUGAUUGCAUGUGAUGUUUAUCUUUUAUGCAUCUUAUUUUGCUUUGAUUGAUGGUAGCAUCAUAAGAUGAUCUCUCACUAAAUUUCAAGAUAAAAGUGUUCUCCCUGAGUAUGCACCGUUGCCAAAGUUCGUCGUGCCGAGACACCACGUGAUGAUCGGGUGUGAUAAGCUCUACGUCCAUCUACAAUGGGUGCAAGCCAGUUUUGCACACGCAGAAUACUCAGGUUAAACUUGACGAGCCUAGCAUAUGCAGAUAUGGCCUCGGAACACUGAGACUGAUAGGUCGAGCGUGAAUCAUAUAGUAGAUAUGAUCAACAUAGUGAUGUUCACCAUUGAAAACUACUCCAUUUCACGUGAUGUUCGGUUAUGGUUUAGUUGAUUUGGAUCACGUGAUCACUUAGAUGAUUAGAGGGAUGUCUAUCUAAGUGGGAGUUCUUAAGUAAUAUGAUUAAUUUGAACUUUAAUUUAUCAUGAACUUAGUCCUGGUAGUAUUAGCAUAUCUAUGUUGUAGAUCAAUUGCUCACGUUUAGCUCCCUUGUUUUAUUUUUGAUAUGUUCCUAGAGAAAACUAAGUUGGAAAAUAUUAGUAGAAAUGAUGCGGAUUGGACUUGAUCUGAGGUUUAUCCUCAUUGCCGCACAGAAGAAUUAUGUCCUUGAUGCACCGGUAGGUGACAAACCUAUUGCAGGAGCAUAUGCAGAUGUUAUGAACGUUUGGCUAGCUCAAUAUGAUGACUACUUGAUAGUUUAGUGCACCAUGCUUAAAUGGCUUAGAAUCGGGACUUCAAAGACGUUUUAAACGUCAUGGACCAUAUGAGAUGUUCUAGGAGUUGAAGUUAAUAUUUCAAGCAAAUACCCGAGUUGAGAGAUAUGAAGUCGCCAACAAGUUCUAUAGCUAAAAGAUGAAGGAGAAUAGCUCAAGCAGUGAGCAUGUGCUCAGAUUGUCUGGGUACUACAAUCGCUUGAAUCAAGUGGGAGUUAAUCUUGCAGAUAAAAUUGUGAUUGACAAAAUUCUCUAGUCACCAUCACCAAGUUAGUAGAACUUCGUGAUGAACUAUAAUAUGCAAGGGAUAACCGAAAUGAUUCCCAAGCUCUUCGUGAUGUUGAAAUCGACGAAGGUAGAAAUCAAGAAAAGCAUCAAGUGUUGAUGGUAAACAAAACCACUAGUUUCAAGUAAAGGGACAAAUGGAAGAAAGGGGAACUUCAAGAAGAACGGCAAGCAAGUUGCUGCUCAAGUGAAAAAAAACCAAGUCUGGACCUAAGCCUGAAACUGAGUGCUUCUACUGCAAAGGGACUGGUCACUGGAAGCGGAAACUACCCCAAGUAAUUGGCGGAUAAGAAGGAUCGCAAAGUGAACAUAGGUAUAUUUAAUAUACAUGUUAAUGAUGUGUACUUUACUAGUGUUUAUAGCAGCCCCACGGUAUUUGAUACUAGUUUAGUUGCUAAGAAUAGUAACUCGAAACAGGAGUUGCAGAAUGAACAAAGACUAGUUAAAGGUGAAGUGACGAUGUGUAUUGGAAAUGGUUCCAAGAUUGAUAUGAUCAUCAUCGCACACUCCCUAUACUUUCGGGAUUAGUGUUAAACCUAAAAUAAAUGUUAUUUAGUGUUUGCGUUGAGCAUAAAUAUGAUUGGAUCAUGUUUAUUGCAAUACGAUUAUUCAUGUAGUUAGAGAAUAAUUGUUGUUCUAUUUACAUGAAUAAAACCUUCUAUGGUCAUACACCCAAUGAAAAUGGUUUGUUGGAUCUCGAUCGUGGUGAUACACAUUUUCAUAAUAUUGAAGCCAAAAGACGCAAAGUUAAUAAUGAUAGUGCAACUUAUUUGUGGCACUGCCGUUUAGGUCAUAUUGGUGUAAAGCGCAUGAAGAAAAUCCAUGCUGAUGGACUUUUGGAAUCACUUGAUUAUGAAUCAGUUGAUGCUUGCGAACCAUGCCUCAUGGGCAAGAUGACUAAGACUCCGUUCUCUGGAACAAUGGAGCGAGCAACAGAUUUGUUGGAAAUCAUACAUACUGAUUUAUGUGGUCCGAUGAAUAUUGAGGCUCGCGGAGGUAUCAUUAUUUUCUGAUCUUCACAGAUAAUUUGAGCAGAUAUUAGUAUAUCUACUUGAUGAAACACAAGUCUGAAACAUUUGAAAAGUUCAAAGAAUUUCAGAGUGAAGUGGAGAAUCAUCGUAACAAAAAUAAAAAUUUCUACGAUAUGAUUGCAGAAGUAAAAUAUUUGAGUUACGAGUUUGGCCUUCAGUUAAAACAAUGUGAAAUAGUUUCACUACUCACGCCACCUGGAACACCACAGUAUAAUGGUGUGUUCGAACGUCGUAACCGUACUUUAUUAGAUAUGGUGCAAUCUACGAUGUCUCUUACCGAUUUACAACUAUCAUUUUGGGGUUAUGCAUUAGAGACAGCUGCAUUCACAUUAAAAAGGGUACCAUCUAAAUCCGUUGAGACGACACCGUAUGAACUGUGGUUUAGCAAGAAACCUAAAGCUGUCGUUUCUUAAAGUUUGGAGUUGCGAUGCUUAUGUGAAAAAGUUUCAUCUUGAUAAGCUCAAACCCAAGUCGGAGAAGUGCAUCUUGAUAGGAUACCCAAAGGAGACAGUUGGGUACACCUUCUAUCACAGAUCCGAAGGCAAAACAUUUGUUGCUUAGAAUGGAUCCUUUCUAGAGAAAGAGUUUCUCUUGAAAGAAGUGAGUGGGGGAAAAGUAGAACUUGAUGAGGUAACUGUACCUGCUCCCUUAUUUGAAAGUAGUUCAUCACAGAAAUCUGUUCCUGUGACUACUACACCAAUUAGUGAGGAAGCUAAUGAUGAUGAUCAUGUAACUUCAGAUCAAGUUACUACCGAAACCUCGUAGGUAAACCGGAGUGAGAUCCACACCAGAGUGGUACGGUAAUCCUGUUAUGGAGGUCAUGUUACUUGACCAUGAUGAGCCUACGAACUAUGAGGAAGCGAUGAUGAGCCCAGAUUCUGCGAAAUGGUUUGAGGCCAUGAAAUCUGAGAUGAGAUCCAUGUAUGAGAACAAAGUAUGGACUUUGAUUGACUUUCCCAAUGAUCGGCGAGCCAUUGAGAUUAAAUGGAUCUUCAAGAGGAAGACGGACGCUGAUAGUAGUGUUAUUAUCUACAAAGCUAGAAUUGUCGCAAAAAAAGUUUUUUCGACAAGUUCAAGGUGUUGACUACGAUGAGAGUUUCUCACUCGUAUCUAUGCUUAAGUCUCUCCGAAUCAUGUUAGCAAUUGCCGCAUUUUAUGAAAUCUGGCAAAUGGAUAAACAAAACUGCAUUCCUUAAUGGAUUUAUUAAAGAAGAGUCGUAUAUGAUGCAACCAGAAGGUUUUGUCAAUCCUAAAAGUACUAACAAAAUAUGCAAGCUCCAGCGUCCAUCUAUGGACUGGUGCAAGCAUCUUGCAGUUGGAAUAUACGCUUUGAUAAGUUGAUCAAAGCAUAUAGUUUUAUACAGACUUGCGGUGAAGCCUGUAUUUACAAGAAAGUGAGUGGGAGCACUACAACAUUUCUGAUAAGUAUAUGUGAAUGACAUAUUGUUGAUCAGAGAUAAUGUAGAAUUAUUUUGCAAAGCAUAAAGGAGUGUUUGAAAGGAGUUUUUCAAAGAAAGACCUCGGUGAAGCUGCUUACAUAUUAGCAUCAAGAUCUAUAGAGAUAGAUUAAGACGCUUGAUAAGUUUUUCAAUGAGUACAUACCUUGACAAGAUUUUGAAGUAGUUCAAAAUGGAACAGUCAAAGAAGGAGUUCUUGCCUGUGUUACAAGGUGUGAAGUUGAGUAAGACUCAAAACCCGACCAUGGCAAAAGAUAGAGAGAAAAUGAAAGUCAUUCCCCAUGCCUCAGCCAUAGGUUCUAUAAAGUAUGGCAUGUUGUGUACCAGAUCUAUUGUAUACCCUACACUGUUUUUGGCAAGGGGUACAAUAGUGAUCUAGGAGUAGAUCCCUAGACAGCGGUCAAAAUUAUCCUUAGUGGAAUAAGGAUAUGUUUCUCGAUUAUGGAGGUGACAAAAAGGUUCGUCGUAAAGGGUUACGUCGAUGCAAAUUUUGACACUAAUCCAGAUGACUCUAAAUCUCAAUCUGGAUACAUAUUGAAAGUGGGAGCAAUUAGCUAGAGUAGCUCAGUGCAGAGCAUUGUUGACAUAGAAAUUUGCAAAAUACUUACGGAUCUGAAUGUGGCAGACCCGUUGACUAAACUUCUCUCACAAGCAAAACAUGAUCACACCUUAGUACUCUUUGGGUGUUAAUCACAUAGCGAUGUGAACUAGAUUAUUGACUCUAGUAAAUCCUUUGGGUGUUGGUCACAUGUCGAUGUGAACUAUGGGUGUUAAUCACAUGGUGAUGUGAACUAUUGGUAUUAAAUCACAUGGCGAUGUGAACUAGAUUAUUGACUCUAGUGCAAGUGGGAGACUGAAGGAAAUAUGCCCUAGAGGCAAUAAUAAAGUUAUUAUUUAUUUCCUUAUAUCAUGAUAAAUGUUUAUUAUUCAUGCUAGAAUUGUAUUAACCGGAAACAUAAUACAUGUGUGAAUACAUAGACAAACAGAGUGUCAGUAGUAUGCCUCUACUUGACUAGCUCGUUGAUCAAAGAUGGUUAAGUUUCCUAGCCAUUGACAUGGGUUGUCAUUUGAUUAACAGGAUCACAUCAUUAGGAGAAUGAUGUGAUUGACAUGACCCAUUCCGUUAGCUCAGCACACGAUCGUUUAGUAUGUUGCUAUUGCUUUAUUCAUGACUUAUACAUGUUCCUAUGACUAUGAGAUUAUGCAACUCCCGUUUACCGGAGGAACACUUUGUGUGCUACCAAACAUCACAAUGUAACUGGGUGAUUAUAAAGGUGCUCUACAGGUGUCUCCGAAGGUACUUGUUGGGUUGGCAUAUUUCAAGAUUAGGAUUUGUCACUCCGAUUGUCGGAGAGGUAUCUCUGGGCCCUCUCGGUAAUGCACAUCACUUAAGCCUUGCAAGCAUUGCAACUAAUGAGUUAGUUGUGGGAUGAUGUAUUACGGAACGAGUAAAGAGACUUGCUGGUAACGAGAUUGAACUAGGUAUUGAGAUACCGACGAUCGAAUCUCGGGCAAGUAACAUACCGAUGACAAAGGGAACAACGUAUGUUGUUAUGCGGUCUGAUCGAUAAAGAUCUUCAUAAAAAAAAUUCCUCACAAAAAAAGGAUAAAGAUCUUCGUAGAAUAUGUAGGAGCCAAUAUGAGCAUCCAGGUUCCGCUAUUGGUUAUUGAUCGGAGACGUGUCUCGGUCAUGUCUACAUAGUUCUCGAACCCGUAGGGUCCGCACGCUUAACGUUACGAUGACAGUUAUAUUAUGAGUUUAUAUGUUUUGAUGUACCGAAGGUUGUUCAGAGUCCCGGAUGUGAUCACGGACAUGACGAGGAGUCUCGAAAUGGUCGAGACAUGAAUAUUGAUAUAAUUGGAAGCCUAUGUUUGGAUAUCAUAAGUGUUCCGGGUAAAAUCGGGAUUUUACCGGAGUACCGGGAGGUUACCGGAACCCCCUGGGAAUCAAAUGGGCCUUAGUGGUCCUAGGUGGAAGAGAGGAGAGGAGUCAAGGGCUGGCCGCGCACCCCUCCCCCUAGUCCGAAUAGGACAAGGAGAGGGGGGGCGGCGCCCCCCUUCCUUCCUUCUCAUCCACUCCUUCCCCCUCAAGUCCUAAUCCAACUAGGAAAGGGGGGAGUCCUACUCCCGGUGGGAGUAGGACUCCUCUGGCGUGCCCUCUCCCUUGGCCGGCCACACCCCCCGUUGCUCCUUUAUAUACGGGGGCAGGGGGCACCCUAGAGACACAACAAUUGAUCAUUGAUCUCUUAGCCGUGUGCGGUGCACCCCUCCACCAUAGUCCACCUCGAUAAUACUGUAGCGGUGCUUAGGCGAAGCCCUGCGUCGGUAGAACAUCAACACCAUCACCACGCUGUCGUGCUGACGAAACUCUCCCUCAACACUCGGCUGGAUCGGAGUUCGAAGGAUGUCAUCAGGCUGAACGUGUGCUGAACUCGGAGAUGCCGUACUUUCGGUACUUGAUCGGUCGGAUCGUGAAGACAUAGGACUACAUCAACCGCGUUGUGCUAACGCUUCGGCUUUCGGUCUACGAGGGUACGUGGACAACACUCUACCCUCUUGUUGCUAUGCAUCACCAUGAUCUUGCGUGUGCGUAGGAGAUUUUUUGAAAUUACUACGUUCCCCAACAUAGGCCCACUCGGUAAUGCACAUCACUAUAAGCCUUGCAAGCAUUGUAACUAAUGAGUUAGUUGCGGGAUGAUGUAUUACAGAACGAGUAAAGAGACUUGCCAGUAACGAGAUUGAACUAGGUAUUGAGAUACUGACGAUCGAAUCUCGGGCAAGUAACAUACCGAUGACAAAGGGAACAACGUAUGUUGUUAUGCGUUUUGACCGAUAAAGAUCUUCAUAGAAUAUGUGGGAGCCAAUAUGAACAUCCAGGUUCUGCUGUUGGUUAUUGACCGGAGACGUGUCUCGGUCAUGUCUACAUAGUUCUCGAACCCGUAGGGUCCGCACGCUUAAAGUUUGGUGACGAUCGGUAUUAUGAGUUUUUGUGUUUUCAUGUACCGAAGGUAGUUUGGAGUCCCAGACAUGAUCACGGACAUGACGAGGAGUCUCGAAAUGGUCGAUACAUAAAGAUCGAUAUAUUGGGCGACUAUAUUAGGACACCGGAAGUGUUCCGGAUGAUUUCGGAGAAAACCGGAGUGCCGGAGGGUUACCGGAACCCCCCGGGAGAAAUAGUGGGCCUUAUGGGCCUUAGUGGAGAGAGAGAGGGAUGGCCUAGGGCAGGCCGCGCGCCCCUCCCCCUCUGGUCCGAAUUGGAUUAGGAGAGGGGGCGGCGCCCCCCUUUCCUUCUCCCUCCCCGUUCCUUUCCCCCUCCUAGUAGGAGUAGGAAAGAGGGCAAUCUUACUCCUACUAGGAGGAGGAUUCCUCCUCCUGGCGCGCCUACAGGGGCCGGACAGCCUCCCCCCUUGCUCCUUUAUAUACGGGGGCAGGGGAGCACCUCUAGACACACAAGUUGAUCUAUUGAUCUAUUCCAGCCAUGUCCAGUGCCCCCCUCCACCAUAAUCCACCUCGAUUAUAUCGUAGCGGUGCUUAGGCGAAGCCCUGCGUCGAUAGUAUCAUCAUCAUCAUCAUCAAGCCGUCGUGCUGACGAAACUCUCCUAUGAAGCUCUGCUGGAUCAGAGUUCGUGGGAUGUCAUCGAGCUGAACAUGUGCUGAACUCAGAGGUACCGUGCGUUUGGUACUUGGAUCGGUCGGAUCAUGAAGACGUACGACUACAUCAACCGCGUUGUGCUAACACUCCCGCUUUCGGUCUAUGAGGGUACAUAGACACACUCUCCCCUAUCAUUGUUAUGCAUCACCAUGACCCUGUGUGUGUGCAUAGGAAUUUUUUUGAAAUUACUACGUUCCCCAACAGUGGCAUCCGAGCCAGGUUUAU